This 450-nucleotide ribosomal RNA is filed under the name uncultured bacterium. Its description in RNAcentral is "partial 16S ribosomal RNA". It matches the Rfam family "Bacterial small subunit ribosomal RNA", at positions 354 to 796 of the family's 1533-position model. The record is from RNAcentral.
GUGGGGAAUUUUGGACAAUGGGCGCAAGCCUGAUCCAGCAAUGCCGCGUGCAGGAAGAAGGCCUUCGGGUUGUAAACUGCUUUUGUACGGAACGAAACGGCUCUGGUUAAUACCCGGGGCUAAUGACGGUACCGUAAGAAUAAGCACCGGCUAACUACGUGCCAGCAGCCGCGGUAAUACGUAGGGUGCAAGCGUUAAUCGGAAUUACUGGGCGUAAAGCGUGCGCAGGCGGUUUUGUAAGACAGGCGUGAAAUCCCCGGGCUCAGCCUGGGAAUGGAGCUUGUGACAGCAAAGCUGGAGUGCGGCAGAGGGGGAUGGAAUUCCGCGUGUAGCAGUGAAAUGCGUAGAUAUGCGGAGGAACACCGAUGGCGAAGGCAAUCCCCUGGGCCUGCACUGACGCUCAUGCACGAAAGCGUGGGGAGCAAACAGGAUUAGAUACCCUAGUAGUCC